RNAcentral lists this small RNA (108 nucleotides) under Salmonella enterica subsp. enterica serovar Typhi. RNAcentral describes it as "StyR-64". The record is from RNAcentral. Lineage: Bacteria; Pseudomonadati; Pseudomonadota; Gammaproteobacteria; Enterobacterales; Enterobacteriaceae.
UUUAGUUGCAAAUUUUUCAACAUUUUAUACACUACGAAAACCAUCGCGAAAGCGAGUUUUGAUAGGAAAUUUAAGAGUAUGAGCACUAUCGAAGAACGCGUUAAGAAA